Molecule: long non-coding RNA, 825 nt
Organism: Mus musculus (house mouse)
Lineage: Eukaryota; Metazoa; Chordata; Mammalia; Rodentia; Muridae
Product: predicted gene, 46115
Exons: 2
Source: RefSeq, a predicted model, not a curated record
UACUGCUGACUCCUUCCUCGUCCUGGAGGCUCCUCCCACUUGCUCGAUCAUCCUGCAGUGUCAAAUCAGUGUCAGAUCCUCAAAGUCAGGAAGAAAGUCAGUAGGGAGCGUGGCUCACACACACUGGUGUCUACAGCAGGCAGAAGCCACGCUUCCUCCUACGAGGACAACCUCAGUUCUGCUCUGUUUUGUAGCAUUCGGUGGGACGCUAAAUGAACAUUUAAAGGCUUUCUAAAAGUCUUUCUUCUACCGGUGAGCUCACUAAGGUCACACUGCCGUAUCGUAGAGCCACGUGUUAGACAUCAUCCCUUUCACAUGUGAACUGCAGUAUCAUCUAGUAGUGUGAAUGGCUCAGGUGACCAUUCCGUUUUGACAGUACUUUCUUCCAUGACACCGCACUGCCUUUUUGUCUCAGGAGGAUUUGGAGCGCAACUAUGACAGCCUGCCUUCAAGAAUCUUUCCUCUUAAUUCAGAGUUUUUUUUCAUCAUGGUGGAAAGCAGAAUGCCAAGAAAAAAGUCCACUAUCUGAUUCCAGGGAUGGUUCUGGAAGAUCUCCAGGACCAGUGGACCCUUCACAUGUACGUCACAUGGUCAGGUAGGGACGGGCUAAGUUUAUACGGGUGGGGCACAGACACGGAAGAGCAGUGUGACUAUGAGAUGGUACCAGGUGGCCACAUUCAAAUAGCUUUAAUAGACACUUGAGCCCAGGAAAAUAUGUGCAAUCCCUCAGUUCUCCAUUCUGUCAAACAUGACUCAAAGAUAAUACUACUGUCUCAGAAGGACUCAUUUUUAAGCCAAUAAACCUAAGACAGAAAAAAAAAAAAA